GAACGCUAGCGGCAGGCUUAACACAUGCAAGUCGAGGGGCAGCAUGAGACGGAGAUUCGUCAAAGUCUUGAUGGCGACCGGCGCAAGGGUGCGUAACGCGUGAGCAACUUGCCCGUUUCUGGGGAAUAACCGGUGGAAACGCCGACUAAUACCCCAUAGUAUUGAGUUUAGGCAGCUUUACUCAAUUAAAGAAUUUCGGAAACGGAUAGGCUCGCGUGACAUUAGCUAGAUGGCGGGGUAACGGCCCACCAUGGCGACGAUGUCUAGGGGUUCUGAGAGGAAGGUCCCCCACACUGGAACUGAGGCACGGUCCAGACUCCUACGGGAGGCAGCAGUGAGGAAUAUUGGUCAAUGGUCUGACGACUGAACCAGCCAUGCCGCGUGAAGGUGACGGCCCUAUGGGUCUUAAACUUCUUUUGUAAGGGAGCAAUAAGUCUCACGUGUGGGAUGAUGAGAGUACCUUACGAAUAAGCAUCGGCUAACUCCGUG
Molecule: ribosomal RNA, 489 nt
Filed under: uncultured bacterium
Lineage: Bacteria
Description: bacterial SSU rRNA
Rfam family: Bacterial small subunit ribosomal RNA
Source: RNAcentral